This 36-nucleotide ribosomal RNA is filed under the name Fusarium fujikuroi. RNAcentral's name for it is "partial 28S ribosomal RNA". The record is from RNAcentral. Lineage: Eukaryota; Fungi; Ascomycota; Sordariomycetes; Hypocreales; Nectriaceae.
AACUUCUGAAUGUUGACCUCGGAUCAGGUAGGGAUA